AGAGUUUGAUCAUGGCUCAGGACGAACGCUGGCGGCGCGCUUAACACAUGCAAGUCGUGCGAUACCUCGAGCGAGUCUUACGACGAGCUCAAGGUAGAGCGGCGGACGGGUGAGUAACACGUGAGUAGCUGUCCUAAGGAGGGGGAUAACGCCUGGAAACGGGUGCUAAAACCCCAUAUGCCUCGCAAGAGGUGAAAGUGUAUUACUACAGCCUUAGGGUGUGCUCGCGGCCUAUCAGCUAGUUGGUGAGGUAAUGGCUCACCAAGGCUAAGACGGGUAGCCGGCCUGAGAGGGUGUACGGCCACACUGGAAUUGAGAUACGGUCCAGACUCCUACGGGAGGCAGCAGUGGGGAAUCUUGGGCAAUGGGCGAAAGCCUGACCCAGCGACGCCGCGUUGGGGAUGAAGCCCUUCGGGGUGUAAACCCAUGUUGUAGGGGACGAAGAAAGUGACGGUACCCUACGAGGAAGCCCCGGCUAACUACGUGCCAGCAGCCGCGGUAAGACGUAGGGGGCGAGCGUUGUCCGGAAUUACUGGGCGUAAAGGGCACGCAGGCGGUGCGCCAAGUCGAGGGUGUAAAGUUACGGCUCAACCGUGACAUUGCAAUCGAUACUGGCGCGCUGGAGUGCGGGAGAGGGAAGUGGAAUUCCCGGUGUAGCGGUGAAAUGCGUAGAUAUCGGGAGGAACGCCAGUGGCGAAGGCGGCUUCCUGGCCCGCGACUGACGCUCAUGUGCGAAAGCCAGGGGAGCGAACCGGAUUAGAUACCCGGGUAGUCCUGGCCGUAAACGAUGGGUGCUAGGUGUAGGCGCGUCAAGCGUCUGUGCCGAAGUUAACGCGAUAAGCACCUCGCCUGGGGAGUACGGUCGCAAGGCUGAACUCAAAGGAAUUGACGGGGGCCCGCACAAGCGGUGGAGCACGUGGUUUAAUUCGAUGCAACCGAAGAAC
RNAcentral lists this ribosomal RNA (944 nucleotides) under uncultured bacterium. Its description in RNAcentral is "bacterial SSU rRNA". It matches the Rfam family "Bacterial small subunit ribosomal RNA", at positions 8 to 969 of the family's 1533-position model. The record is from RNAcentral.